Molecule: RNA transcript, 6571 nt
Organism: Phragmites australis (common reed)
Lineage: Eukaryota; Viridiplantae; Streptophyta; Magnoliopsida; Poales; Poaceae
Gene name: phosphatidylinositol 4-kinase alpha 1-like
Exons: 25
Source: RefSeq, a predicted model, not a curated record
UCUCUCUCAUCAAGGUCGCGUUUCUUUUUUUAUUUUCCCUGCCUGGCUGCCGCCUACCCCGGCCCCAACAAUCGGCGGCCGAGUCAACCGAAAAAUUUAACACGAGCCAUUCACCCAAACCACCCCUCCCCUCCCCCCCCCCCCGUCCUCGGCUCCACCUCCACGAAUCGCUCUCGCGUCGAAGGAAGGAAAAAGCCAAAGGGAGGGCGCAGCGCAUCUCCGCGUCGUCGUCGUCCCCAGCGCACGCGGCUCCGCUCCGCGCCCCACCCGAUCUGCCCCAUGAUCUGACCGCAUUGCCGCCGCGGAUCCCACGAUGGAGGCGCUCAACGAGCUCUGCGACCUGGUGGCCGCGCACCCGGAUCUCCUCCUCGCCGACAAGCUCGCAUGGCUAUCCUCCCGCUGCGGUGGCGCCGCCGCCCCGGCCGCGGCCGCCUUCCCGCCGCAGCGCGCGUCGAGGGCGCACCUCCACUCGCUCCUUGCGCUCGCGCGUCUCCUCCCCGCCGGCGCAGCCGGCGCCGCGCCCCCGCCCCCGCUCCUCGCGUUCCUCGCGUCUCACGCGUUCCUCUCCCCGGACUUCUGGCCCCAGUCCUUCGCCUCUGCACCGUUCCUCUCCAGGCUCCUCCCGCUCUUCGCCGCGGCCCCCGCCUCCCCCGCGCUGUCGUCCGCGCUCUCCGCCGCGCUCCUCGCCGCGCUCGACGUCGCCGACCCGGCCUCCGCGCCGCUCGCCCGCGCGUUCCUCUCUGCCGCGGCGGCGGCGGCUCCCCUGCCUCUUCUCCCCGCGGAUGCCGCGCCCGUCGCCGCGCGGCUGCUCCUCGAGUUCCCGGGCUCCGAGGAGGCGCCGACCAGGGCGAAGGGGAAGGGGGAGGACGCGGCGGGCGAGGAGAACGGAGGGGUUAGGGAAGUGGUGCGGAGGUUCGAGGAGGAGGAGAUCGAGGCGCUAGAGCGGAAAGAGGUCGCAUUCAGGUUGAUCGUGCAUAUGAUGGGGGGCCAGGGCGCGCUCGAGGCCGAACAGGUUGGGAAGGUCAGGAAUGCCGCCGCACGGCAGGUCCGGUCGCUCACGGAUUUCCUCAAGAUUAGAAAGCGGGACUGGAGGGAGCAGGGUGUGCAGCUGAGGGCAAGGAUAAACACCAAAUUGACGUGUUGCCAAGCUGCGGUGGUGGUGCUGGUCCGGAGUGUUUCCGCUAUGGAUACUGAUAGCAAGUCUUCCAAGGAUAUGCUCCAGCUGACUCUAGCUUGGUUCAUCGAGGCCACCAAGUCAUGCAUUCUGUCAUCCUGGCGGAAACUGAAGCUCUGCGAGGAGCUAUUUUGCACGCUGCUUAAUGGGAUAAGCCAGAUAACUGUUUCACGUGGGGGCCAGCUCCUGCCAGUGCUGCUGAUUCCCUUAAAACCGCUUGUUGUCAGCACAUGUUCGCAGGCUGAUAUGACAGGCAGUAGCCCGGGGGCUUUGUUUGAGGCAGUGGUGAAAUUGAGCUGUGAGAUCAUAGAGUUUGGCUGGACAAAGGAUAGGGCUCUUGUUGACACAUUCAUUAUGCGGCUAGCUGCAUAUGUUCGUGAACGGAAUGAUUAUGAGGAGGAGGAUGGCAAAGAAAAAGAGGCAGUUCCAGUUAUUCGACUUAAUGUCAUACGCCUUUUGGCUGAGUUAUGUGUAUGCUUGAAAAAAUGGGAAGUUGUAGACAUGAUUUUGCCCCUUUUCAUUGAACAUCUAGAAGAGGGUGAUGCUUCAUCUCCAAGUUCAUUGCGUCUAAGAUUAUUAGAUGCGAUAUCCCGUGUUGCAUGCUUGGGUUUUGAAAAGUCAUACCGUGAGAGCAUUGUAUUGAUGACAAGAAGCUAUCUCGAUAAAGUUAAAGCUGUAGGGGCUUCAGAAAACAACACAUUGCUAUCAGAAGCAACAACUGAGAGAAUAGAGACUCUCCCUGCAGGCUUUCUACUUGUCGCUUCCAACCUCACAAGCACAAAACUCAGGUCUGAUUAUCGUCAUAGGCUAUUGUCUCUGUGCUCUGAUGUGGGGCUUGCUGCUGAAUCUAAAAGUGGGAGGAGUGGUGCUGAUUUGAUGGGCCCGUUACUUCCUGCAGUUGCUGAAAUAUGUUCUGAUUUUGAUCCAGUGUCCACUAUUGAGCCAUCAUUAUUGAAAUUGUUCCGAAACCUUUGGUUCUACAUCGUCUUGUUUGGGCUAGCUCCACCCAUACAGAGCAAUCAGGCACCUACAAAACCAGUUUCCACUUCAUUAAGCACAGUGGAGAGCAUCAGCUCUAUAGCUCUUCAAGCUGUUGCUGGACCAUACAUGUGGAAUAGUGAAUGGUGUGUAGCAGUGCAACGUAUUGCGCAAGGAACUCCUCCUCUGGUAGUCAGUUCAGUGAAAUGGCUUGAAGAUGAACUAGAGUUAAAUGCUUUGCACAAUCCAGGUAGUCGUCGUGGCAAUGGUAAUGAAAAAGCUGCUGUUGGACAAAGAACUGCACUUUCUGCUGCUUUGGGAGGUCGAGUUGAGGUUGCAGCAAUGAGUACAAUUUCAGGGGUUAAAGCUACAUAUCUCCUUGCAGUUGCUUUCCUGGAGAUAUUGCGUUUUAGUUGCAAUGGCGGCAUACUCUCAGCUACUUCUACAUUGAAUAAAUCAAAUAGUGCAUUCAGCUGUGUGUUUGAAUAUCUGCUAACUCCAAACUUGACACUAGCAGUAUCUCAGUGUUUGACGGCAGUUGUGCAUAGAGCUUUUGAAACAGUGUUGUCAUGGCUGGAGGAUCGUAUAUCUGACAUAGGUGAAGGAGCUGAUGUUAGAGAAUCAGUUCUUUCUGUUCAUGCUUGCUUCCUCAUAAAGAGCAUGUCUCAGAGGGAUGAAAAUGUUCGUGAUGUGAGCGUUAAGCUGUUGACUCAGUUGAAGGAAAAGUUUCCACAGGUCCUCUGGAACUCGUCAUGCUUGGAUUUACUUCUUAUUUCUGUUCAUAAUGAGUUGACUUCUGGUCCAGUCAGUGAUCCUGCUUGGGUUGCAACUGUACGCUCACUGUAUCAGAAGAUUGCUAGAGAAUGGUUAACAAGUGCUCUUUCAUAUGCUCCGUGUACCACCCAAGGCCUUAUACAGGAAAAUUUUUGCAAGCCAAGUGGAGUACAGAGAACACAGCAUACAGCAGAUGUCGUCUCACUUUUAUCUGAGAUACGUAUUUGUAAUGGAAAGAAUGAUUGGAACGGCAUCAGGACGGCCAACGUUCCUGCAGUUAUGGAUUCUGCUGCAGCAGCAUCAGGAGCCAAAAAAGAAGCACCUGACUUCACUCUGGAAGUACUCUCUACUGCAGUAGUGACUGCAACUGUGAAAUGCAACCAUGCUGGUGAGAUUGCCGGUAUGAGAAGGCUAUUCAGUACUAUGGGAGGCUUAAACAUGGGCUUGUCUUCUCUUGUCACACAGUCUGCCCAGCCUCAUCAGUCAUUUGAUGAAGUUUUUGUGUCCAAAUUUGUUCAUCUUCUUCAGAAUUUUGUUGUUGCGGCGGAGAAACAACCAAUAGAUAAUUCACAAUUUCGUGAAACUUGUUCUCAGGCUACAGCUUUACUUCUCGAUCACAUGGUUUCUGAUUCUAGAGCAAAUCUGGAAGGGUUUUCUCAGCUUGUACGGCUUCUAUGCUGGUGUCCUGCUUAUAUUUCAACCCCUGAUGCAAUGGAGACUGGAAUAUAUAUCUGGACAUGGCUGGUAUCAGCAGCACCUUCUUUAGGUCCUCUUGUGCUCGCAGAACUUGUUGAUGCAUGGCUGUGGACAAUAGAUACAAAGCGUGGCUUGUUUGCAUCAGAUAUGAAUUACUGUGGUCCUGAUGCAAAAUUGAGGCCACAUCUCAUCGCUGGUGAGCCUGAGACACCACCAGAAAAGGAUCCAGUUGAAGCAAUAAUAGCCCAUAGACUCUGGCUUGGCUUCUUCAUUGAUCGGUUUGAGGUGGUUCGGCAUGAUAGCAUUGAGCAACUUCUACUUCUAGGUCGGAUGUUACAAGGAACAAUGAAGUCUCCAACUCAUUUUUCUCGCCAUCCUGCUGCUACUGGCACUUUCUUUACUGCAAUGCUCCUUGGGCUGAAGUUUUGCUCGUGCCAGUCUCAAUCUAACCUGCAGAAAUGUAAUAUGGGGCUUCAAUUAUUAGAGGACAGGGUAUACCGUGCUGCUUUGGGAUGGUUUGCUUAUGCACCGGAGUGGUAUGAAUCUCCAAACAAAACUUAUGCUCAGAGAGAGGCUCAGUCAGUGUCAGUAUUUGUCCAUUUUCUGCAAAAUGACCGCACCAGUGGUUCCAUUGAUUCUGUUUCAAAGUCACAGGGUCAUGAAAGUGAACAUAAUAUGGCGGAUCAGAUACACCCUGUCUGGGGCUGUGUUGAUAACUAUGCAACUGUGCGGGAAAAACGUAAGCAAUUACUGCUGAUGCUUUCUCAGCAUGAGGCAGACAGGCUUGAAGUGUGGGCGCAACCAAUAAAUACAAAAGAUACGACGACGUUUCGUGGUAAAAUUAGCUCAGAUAAAUGGACUGAUCACGCUAGAACUGCUUUUGCUGUUGAUCCUCGAAUCGCUCUCUCUAUGACUUUGAGGUUCCCCACAAAUUCAGCAUUGCAGUCUGAAAUUACUCAGUUGGUACAGACACGGUUACUGGAGCUCCGCACAAUCCCUGAAGCAUUACCCUUUUUCAUCACUCCAAAGGCAGUAGAUGAAAAUUCAGCGUUGUUACAGCAACUUCCGCACUGGGCUCCAUGUUCUGUUACACAGGCACUGGAGUUUCUUACUCCACCUUACAAAGGACAUCCGCGCGUUAUGGCAUAUGUCCUUCGUGUCUUGGAGACUUACCCACCUGAGACUGUCACCUUUUUUAUGCCACAGUUGGUACAAUCUCUCAGAUAUGAUGAAGGGAAAUUGGUUGAAGGAUAUUUGCUUGGAGCUGCUCGGAGAAGUAAUAUAUUUGCUCAUAUAUUGAUAUGGCAUCUCCAGGGCGAAUGUGUUCCUGAGGAAUCUGGGAAGGACACAGUUGUUCCAAAGGCCAGUGCAUUCCACUCCUUGCUUCCUGCCGUUAGGGAGAAAAUUAUUGACGGUUUCACUCCAGAGGCUCGUGAUAUGUUUGAAAGAGAGUUUGAUUUCUUUGACAAAGUCACCUCUAUUUCUGGUGUUCUUUUCCCUCUUCCCAAGGAAGAGCGGAGAGCUGGUAUUAGAAGGGAGCUGGAGAAGAUCACUGUGCCAGGUGAUGACCUAUACCUACCUACUGCAACAAACAAAUUUGUACGGGGUAUACAACUGGACAGCGGUAUCCCUCUCCAGUCUGCUGCAAAAGUUCCAAUAAUGAUUACUUUUAAUGUGGUUGAUCGUGACGGGGACCCAAAUGAUGUAAAACCACAGGCUUGCAUUUUUAAGGUUGGUGAUGACUGUAGACAAGAUGUGCUGGCUCUCCAAGUUAUUGCUCUAUUAAGGGACAUAUUUCAAGCUGUCGGAUUAAACCUGUAUCUCUUUCCUUAUGGAGUUUUGCCCACUGGACCUGAACGAGGCAUAAUUGAGGUUUACCUUUGUCGGCCAGGAAAUUAGCUAAAUCUGAUUUGCAACCUCUUGUUGAUAAGGUGGCUGUGCACGUUCCAAGUUGGAAGCUUCUCUAAUGAACCGAGCUGGGAGAUUAUUGAUGGUUUGUGUUGUUCUAACAACAACUUCCAUUUAUCAAAUGAUUGCAAUGGAUCUUCCUAAGUGGGUCCCUAAGGCAAUUGAUAAAGUGAGACAUUUCCUUUGUAAAGGUCAAGAACAAGCAAGAGGAGGGAAUUGUUUAGUUUUGUAGCAAAGGGUUUCUAGGCCUCUUUUGUAUGGUGGCCUUGGUAUUCAUGAUUUAUCGACUCUUGGUUGGGCUCUUCGUAUGAGGUGGCUUUGGCUGCAAAAAACAGAGCCUUCAAGAUCAGCAUAUUUGAUAGUUGUCGGGCUCGGGAGUUUAUUCCAGCAAGUCAGCCUACAAUGCCUUUUUCGUUGGUUCUAUUAAGUUUGCUCCCUGGAAACGAAUUUGGAAAUCUUGGGCGCCUAUGCGUUGCAAGUUCUUUUUGUGGCUGGCAAUCCUUACUCGCUUCUGGAUUGCGGAUAGAUUGGCUAAACGGGGGCUGCCUCACUCUCCUUCAUGCCCUUUUUGUGAUCAGGCUGAGGAGACCAUUCAGCAUUUGCUUGUUCAUUGUGUGGUUGCUAGACAGAUUUCGUUCAACAUUCUUCAGAAGGUCGGUCUGCAAGCUGUUGCUCCACAGCCAGACAAGGGUUUCUCAAGUUGGUGUUGCUAGGCGCUGAAACAAGUGGACAAAUAACUCAACAGGGGUCUGAAUUCUCUUAUUAUCUUGGUCACUUAGGAAAUCUGGAAGCAUCGGAAUGAUUGUAUUUUCAAUGGAGCUUCCCCUAAUUUCGAGUUGGUGGUACAUGCCGUGGCUGUGCAAGGAUCUCUUUGGAGUGCGGCUGGAGCCUUGGACCUUCAGGCUCUUUUAGCUGGGUGGUCCCGAAUACUCGGAGUAGAAAUCAAAUGGGUGAAACAACUGAUGGUGGUUUAUUAGAGAUAUUUCAGCAAGACUAUGGCCCUGUAGGUUCACAUUCUUUCGAAACUGCCCGAGAAAUGUU